UACGUAGGGUGCAAGCGUUGUCCGGAAUUAUUGGGCGUAAAGAGCUCGUAGGCGGUCUGUCGCGUCGGCUGUGAAAACCCGGGGCUCAACCCCGGGCCUGCAGUCGAUACGGGCAGACUAGAGUGCGGUAGGGGAGACUGGAAUUCCUGGUGUAGCGGUGAAAUGCGUAGAUAUCAGGAGGAACACCGGUGGCGAAGGCGGGUCUCUGGGCCGAUACUGACGCUGAGGAGCGAAAGCGUGGGGAGCGAACAGG
RNAcentral lists this ribosomal RNA (253 nucleotides) under uncultured bacterium. Its description in RNAcentral is "partial 16S ribosomal RNA". It matches the Rfam family "Bacterial small subunit ribosomal RNA", at positions 524 to 776 of the family's 1533-position model. The record is from RNAcentral.